CAACAAUCGGGAUAUAAACCCAGGCAUUCGAGCUGGCAACAGCAGCCCCCCUUUGGGUCCCUUCCCUUUGUAUGGGAGCUGUUUUCAUGCUAUUUCACUCUAUUAAAUCUUGCAACUGCACUCUUCUGGUCCAUGUUUCUUACGGCUCGAGCUGAGCUUUUGCUCACCGUCCACCACUGCUGUUUGCCACCACCGCAGACCUGCCGCUGACUCCCAUCCCUCUGGAUCCUGCAGGGUGUCCGCUGUGCUCCUGAUCCAGCGAGGCGCCCAUUGCCGCUCCCAAUUGGGCUAAAGGCUUGCCAUUGUUCCUGCACGGCUAAGUGCCUGGGUUUGUUCUAAUUGAGCUGAACACUAGUCACUGGGUUCCAUGGUUCUCUUCUGUGACCCACGGCUUCUAAUAGAACUAUAACACUUACCACAUGGCCCAAGAUUCCAUUCCUUGGAAUCCGUGAGGCCAAGAACUCCAGGUCAGAGAAUACGAGGCUUGCCACCAUCUUGGAAGCGGCCUGCUACCAUCUUGGAAGUGGUUCACCACCAUCUUGGGAGCUCUGUGAGCAAGGACCCCCCGGUAACAUUUUGGCAACCACGAACGGACAUCCAAAGUGAUGGGAAACGUUCCCCGCAAGACAAAAACGCCCCUAAGACGUAUUCUGGAGAAUUGGGACCAAUUUGACCCUCAGACACUAAGAAAGAAACGACUUAUAUUCUUCUGCAGUGCCGCCUGGCACUCCUGAGGGAAGUAUAAAUUAUAACACCAUCUUACAGCUAGACCUCUUUUGUAGAAAAGGCAAAUGGAGUGAAGUGCCAUAAGUACAAACUUUCUUUUCAUUAAGAGACAACUCACAAUUAUGUAAAAAGUGUGAUUUAUGCCCUACAGGAAGCCUUCAGAGUCUACCUCCCUAUCCCAGCAUCCCCGACUCCUUCCCCAACUAAUAAGGACCCCCCUUCAACCCAAAUGGUCCAAAAGGAGAUAGACAAAAGGGUAAACAGUGAACCAAAGAGUGCCAAUAUUCCCCAAUUAUGACCCCUCCAAGCAGUGGGAGGAAGAGAAUUCGGCCCAGCCAGAGUGCAUGUGCCUUUUUCUCUCCCAGACUUAAAGCAAAUAAAAACAGACUUAGGUAAAUUCUCAGAUAACCCUGAUGGCUAUAUUGAUGUUUUACAAGGGUUAGGACAAUUCUUUGAUCUGACAUGGAGAGAUAUAAUGUCACUGCUAAAUCAGACACUAACCCCAAAUGAGAGAAGUGCCACCAUAACUGCAGCCUGAGAGUUUGGCGAUCUCUGGUAUCUCAGUCAGGUCAAUGAUAGGAUGACAACAGAGGA
This 1320-nucleotide long non-coding RNA is filed under the name Homo sapiens (human). RNAcentral describes it as "non-protein coding lnc-ERVW-1-1:1". The record is from RNAcentral. Lineage: Eukaryota; Metazoa; Chordata; Mammalia; Primates; Hominidae.